AUUGAACGCUGGCGGCAGGCCUAACACAUGCAAGUCGAACGGUAACAGGAAGAAGCUUGCUUCUUUGCUGACGAGUGGCGGACGGGUGAGUAAUGUCUGGGAAACUGCCUGAUGGAGGGGGAUAACUACUGGAAACGGUAGCUAAUACCGCAUAACGUCGCAAGACCAAAGAGGGGGACCUUCGGGCCUCUUGCCAUCGGAUGUGCCCAGAUGGGAUUAGCUAGUAGGUGGGGUAACGGCUCACCUAGGCGAGGAUCCCUAGCUGGUCUGAGAGGAUGAACAGCCACACUGGAACUGAGACACGGUCCAGACUCCUACGGGCGGCAGCAGUGGGGAAUAUUGCACAAUGGGCGCAAGCCUGAUGCAGCCAUGCCGCGUGUAUGAAGAAGGCCUUCGGGUUGUAAAGUACUUUCAGCGGGGAGGAAGGGAGUAAAGUUAAUACCUGUGCUCAUUGACGUUACCCGCAGAAGAAGCACCGGCUAACUCCGUG
This 490-nucleotide ribosomal RNA is filed under the name uncultured bacterium. RNAcentral's name for it is "partial 16S ribosomal RNA". It matches the Rfam family "Bacterial small subunit ribosomal RNA", at positions 30 to 507 of the family's 1533-position model. The record is from RNAcentral.